UGCGCAGGCGGAAUAAUAAGUCAGUGGUGAAAUCUCUCGGCUCAACCGGGAAACUGCCAUUGAUACUGUUAUUCUUGAGUACAGCUGAAGUGGGCGGAAUGUGUCAUGUAGCGGUGAAAUGCUUAGAUAUGACACAGAACACCGAUAGCGAAGGCAGCUCACUAAGCUGUAACUGACGCUCAUGCACGAAAGCGUGGGGAUCAAACAGGAUUAGAUACCCUGGUAGUC
This 228-nucleotide ribosomal RNA is filed under the name uncultured bacterium. RNAcentral describes it as "partial 16S ribosomal RNA". It matches the Rfam family "Bacterial small subunit ribosomal RNA", at positions 568 to 795 of the family's 1533-position model. The record is from RNAcentral.